Molecule: ribosomal RNA, 629 nt
Filed under: uncultured bacterium
Lineage: Bacteria
Description: bacterial SSU rRNA
Rfam family: Bacterial small subunit ribosomal RNA
Source: RNAcentral
UAACAGUUGGAAACGGCUGCUAAUACCGCAUAAGCGCACGGCAUCGCAUGAUGCAGUGUGAAAAACUCCGGUGGUAUAAGAUGGACCCGCGUUGGAUUAGCUAGUUGGUGAGGUAACGGCCCACCAAGGCGACGAUCCAUAGCCGACCUGAGAGGGUGACCGGCCACAUUGGGACUGAGACACGGCCCAAACUCCUACGGGAGGCAGCAGUGGGGAAUAUUGCACAAUGGGCGAAAGCCUGAUGCAGCGACGCCGCGUGAGCGAAGAAGUAUUUCGGUAUGUAAAGCUCUAUCAGCAGGGAAGAUAAUGACGGUACCUGACUAAGAAGCACCGGCUAAAUACGUGCCAGCAGCCGCGGUAAUACGUAUGGUGCAAGCGUUAUCCGGAUUUACUGGGUGUAAAGGGAGCGCAGGCGGUGCGGCAAGUCUGAUGUGAAAGCCCGGGGCUCAACCCCGGUACUGCAUUGGAAACUGUCGUACUAGAGUGUCGGAGGGGUAAGCGGAAUUCCUAGUGUAGCGGUGAAAUGCGUAGAUAUUAGGAGGAACACCAGUGGCGAAGGCGGCUUACUGGACGAUAACUGACGCUGAGGCUCGAAAGCGUGGGGAGCAAACAGGAUUAGAUACCCUGGU